UUUUGGGCCACAGAUGGGAACCCUGGG
Molecule: non-coding RNA, 27 nt
Filed under: Mus musculus (house mouse)
Lineage: Eukaryota; Metazoa; Chordata; Mammalia; Rodentia; Muridae
Source: RNAcentral